CAGUAGCCGCGGGAAUACGGAGGGUGCAAGCGUUAUCCGGAUUUAUUGGGUUUAAAGGGUCCGUAGGCGGACUUAUAAGUCAGUGGUGAAAGCCUGUAGCUUAACGAUAGAACUGCCAUUGAUACUGUAAGUCUUGAGUAUAUUUGAGGUAGCUGGAAUAAGUAGUGUAGCGGUGAAAUGCAUAGAUAUUACUUAGAACACCAAUUGCGAAGGCAGGUUACCAAGAUAUAACUGACGCUGAGGGACGAAAGCGUGGGUAGCGAACAGGAUUAGAUACCCCAGUAGUCCCUGUCUCUUAUAC
This 301-nucleotide ribosomal RNA is filed under the name uncultured bacterium. RNAcentral describes it as "partial 16S ribosomal RNA". It matches the Rfam family "Bacterial small subunit ribosomal RNA", at positions 509 to 807 of the family's 1533-position model. The record is from RNAcentral.